RNAcentral lists this long non-coding RNA (1465 nucleotides) under Homo sapiens (human). RNAcentral describes it as "PREDICTED lncRNA (TCONS_00190226)". Lineage: Eukaryota; Metazoa; Chordata; Mammalia; Primates; Hominidae. The record is from RNAcentral.
GAGGCGGGUCGGGGGAGGGCAGGGGAACGGAAGGGGUACCCGGGGAGCAUCCUAAGGGAACCUCUUCGCUUAAAAGGGCGGCCGCUGAAGUGGCUCUGAGAACAAAGGAGUUAACACUCGGACUCCACAGCCUGCGUCCCCGCCCGGUCAGCAUCGCAGGUGUUACCCAAACUCUGACGGUCCCUUUAAGAACUCACCCGGAGUCGCGCCCUCCGAAGCUGAGCCGCCCUCGGCCAGCGCUGCAGGCCCCAGCUUAUAAAUCUAUGAAGGUGUCCAGGUCCUGCCAGACUCCGCUGCAUCUUUUGCUUUCACUCCAGCAGGGUAGCAGCAUGCUGCCUGUGCCAAGGCAAUCACUAAAAGGAAAGGAUUUAAUGCUGUCAAAAAAGCUUAUGCCAGCUUAGGCUGCAGGAAGAGGAACAGUGUCAAGUAUGUUGAAAGUGGACAUAUUGGUCAGACCUCCAUGAGAGCCUAGGGGGCAUUGCUUAGCAGCACGCUUUUAAAGGAAUCUGAACAAACCAGCAUGUGGAAAGAAGAGAGUAACCACAGCAAUCAGGAAACAACUGUACAAUCUAGGGCCAUUUCAUUGGAAAAACAGAAGUCUCCAGGGAGCUGCAGUCAUCAAACAGGCUUAUUCUGUGUACCCAGUGGGCAAGUACAGUCAAUGGAUGAAAAUUCAACCAAUGGACAAACACAGGAAGUUUUUCCUUAACAUGAGUUGUCAGAAACUGUCCAAAAUUCCAAAGAGCUGCCUCAAGGUAGUGGAAAUUUUUUUUUUUUUUUAAUCAGGAAGGUGCUGAAUGAAGCCAGCAAGGAUUCUGUGUCAGAGGGUGGUAGAUACCCAGGACAUAAGGUUGAACCACGUGACCUCUGAGACCACAGUUCUAAGCUGUUGAAACCUCAGUCCCUGCUGAAUACUGAAAUGGUAUUAGCACCCUUUAGUCUACAUCAAGAAUUCGUUCUACCCAGUUUUGGUGGUACCAAGACUGAUCUCUUUCUCAUAGAUAAUUCUUAACAGAAUAAAAGCUACAGGUUGAAACCAAUUCCCUUUAAAAUGUGGACAGUUGACCAUCUCCAUGAUAGGUAGUUAGGCACUGAAUUAAUGCUUUUUAAUGGAAGAGCCACCCUAAGAUUCCUGGAGUGUGGUAUAAUGGAGUACUAAAUCAGCAUAGGACUAAUAACUGCCUCCCGUGUAAACUGGUCUAUCCGGAGAGUGGUAUAGCCUCUCAUACAGUGUUCAAAGGCAGAUUUAACUCACUGCAGGUCCACAGCAACCGAUAAGAUAAACUCGUUGGUUAUGGUCUCCCACUUUGCAAAGGAGAGCACAGAGGAAGAGGAAACUGAGAUAACUUGGUUUAGGACCCCACAGCUGGCUGGAGCUGGGCUGAACAUUAGUUCAUUGUUUCUUCGAUUAAUCUAUGCUGCUUUUUCUCUACUUGGCUCCUUUUCUAAAUUAAACAAAACAAAA